GCUUUUGUGGUGUAACGGUAGCACACUCGCCACGUAUUCGAGAGGUCCAGGUUCGACUCCCGGCUAGGGUA
RNAcentral lists this transfer RNA (71 nucleotides) under Stegodyphus mimosarum. It matches the Rfam family "tRNA". Rfam says of the family: Transfer RNA (tRNA) molecules are approximately 80 nucleotides in length. Their secondary structure includes four short double-helical elements and three loops (D, anti-codon, and T loops). The record is from Rfam by way of RNAcentral. Lineage: Eukaryota; Metazoa; Arthropoda; Arachnida; Araneae; Eresidae.